This 216-nucleotide ribosomal RNA is filed under the name Glomeromycotina sp. RNAcentral describes it as "partial small subunit ribosomal RNA". The stretch from base 40 to 216 matches the Rfam family "Eukaryotic small subunit ribosomal RNA", at positions 686 to 864 of the family's 1831-position model. Lineage: Eukaryota; Fungi; Glomeromycota. The record is from RNAcentral.
GGGUCAGUAGGUUGGUCGUGCCACCGGUACGUACUGGUCUCACUGAUUCCUCCUUCCUGAAGAACCGUAAUGCCAUUCAUUUGGUUUUGCGGGGAAACAGGACUGUUACUUUGAAAAAAUUAGAGUGUUUAAAGCAAGCUAACGCUUGAAUACAUUAGCAUGGAAUAAUGAAAUAGGACGAUCGAUCCUAUUUUGCUGGUUUCUAGGAUUGACGUA